RNAcentral lists this ribosomal RNA (497 nucleotides) under uncultured bacterium. RNAcentral's name for it is "partial 16S ribosomal RNA". It matches the Rfam family "Bacterial small subunit ribosomal RNA", at positions 28 to 507 of the family's 1533-position model. The record is from RNAcentral.
GACGAACGCUGGCGGCGUGCCUAAUACAUGCAAGUUGAGCGCUGAAGGUUGGUACUUGUACCGACUGGAUGAGCAGCGAACGGGUGAGUAACGCGUGGGGAAUCUGCCUUUGAGCGGGGGACAACAUUUGGAAACGAAUGCUAAUACCGCAUAAAAACUUUAAACACAAGUUUUAAGGUUGAAAGAUGCAAUUGCAUCACUCAAAGAUGAUCCCGCGUUGUAUUAGCUAGUUGGUGAGGUAAAGGCUCACCAAGGCGAUGAUACAUAGCCGACCUGAGAGGGUGAUCGGCCACAUUGGGACUGAGACACGGCCCAAACUCCUACGGGAGGCAGCAGUAGGGAAUCUUCGGCAAUGGACGAAAGUCUGACCGAGCAACGCCGCGUGAGUGAAGAAGGGUUUCGGAUCGUAAAACUCUGUUGGUAGAGAAGAACGUUGGUGAGAGUGGAAAGCUCAUCAAGUGACGGUAACUACCCAGAAAGGGACGGCUAACUACGUG